CCUACGGGAGGCAGCAGUGAGGAAUAUUGGUCAAUGGACGAGAGUCUGAACCAGCCAAGUAGCGUGAAGGAUGACUGCCCUAUGGGUUGUAAACUUCUUUUAUAUGGGAAUAAAAUGUUCCAUGUGUGGGAUUUUGUAUGUACCAUAUGAAUAAGGAUCGGCUAACUCCGUGCCAGCAGCCGCGGUAAUACGGAGGAUCCGAGCGUUAUCCGGAUUUAUUGGGUUUAAAGGGAGCGUAGGUGGAUUGUUAAGUCAGUUGUGAAAGUUUGCGGCGCAACCGUAAAAUUGCAGUUGAAACUGGCAGUCUUGAGUACAGUAGAGGUGGGCGGAAUUCGUGGUGUAGCGGUGAAAUGCUUAGAUAUCACGAAGAACUCCGAUGGCGAAGGCAGCUCACUGGACUGCAACUGACACUGAGGCUCGAAAGUGUGGGGAUCAAACAGGAUUAGAUACCCCAGUAGUC
Molecule: ribosomal RNA, 460 nt
Filed under: uncultured bacterium
Lineage: Bacteria
Description: partial 16S ribosomal RNA
Rfam family: Bacterial small subunit ribosomal RNA
Source: RNAcentral